AUGGGGUGUGGUAGGGUGUUAGUAUGAGGUAAGCACCAUGGAUUGGUGUACGGGAAAAUAGCUAGGCUCUUGUUCUUAGUACAUGUCUGUGGGCUGUGGUGGGUCCCAGUUUUCUGUGCGUUUGCGGGCCAGGUUUAAGAAAACAAGGGGCAAAGCUCUCAGUAGGACUUAAAGAAAAGGAAAAGAAGUAGAGGUGACAGGGCACUCUUGAUUUGCUGCUGUGGAAGCUGUGUGUCCAUCAUUCAUCACACUUAGCUGGAUGCUGCCUGCCUGAGGGGACUGAACCUUUCUGUCAGUCACAGGCUGAAUAAGACCCCUCAAGGUUUGAUCUCUUGCCUAGCACCUUGCAGCUCUGAAGGGGUGAGCAGGGGAAGAAAAGAAAGGCUGAGCAGUGGAAGCCCAGGCGUUCUUCCCUCAAGCCUGGACCAAGCCACCCUGCUGGGACAGACGCCUGCUGCAGGAUGGCUCGGAAGAUGAGUCUCUGUGAGCUGGAAGACCAGUUGCUCUGCCCCAUCUGCCUGGAGCUCUUAAAGGAGCCCCUGAUGCUCCAGUGCGGGCACUCCUUCUGCAAGUCCUGCGUGGAGUCUCUCGUGUGCAACCUGGACCAGCAGCUCCUGUGCCCCGUGUGCCGCCAAGCUGUGGACUGCAGCACCUUGCUGCCCAACGUCACGCUGGCCUGCGUCAUUGAGGCGCUGCGGACCAUGGGCAAUUCAGAUCCCAACCAGGAGUCCUGCCCUGUCCACCAAAACCCCCUCAGCCUCUUCUGUGAGCAGGACCAAGAGGUGAUCUGUGGGCUGUGUGGCAUCAUUGGGGCUCACCGUCAGCAUAAGAUCAUGCCUGUCUCUACCAUAUACAGCCGGAUGAAGGAGGAGCUUUCAGUGCUAAUAACAGAGGUCCAGCAACACAAGAGGAAUCUGGAUGAGCACAUCAGCAAGCUGGUUAACAAUAAAACCCGGAUUGCAAAUGAGUCGGACGUCUUCAAGUGGGUGAUCCGGAAAGAGUUCCAGGAGCUGCACCGAUACAUUGACGAGGAGAAGGCCAGCUUCCUGGGGAGCAUUGAGAGGAAGGCUGGCCACCUCAUUGCCUCCAUUGAGUUCCAGGUCACACAGACAUCAGACGCCCUGCACAAGCUGCAGGAGAUGGAGAGCUCGCUGGAGAAACUCAACAAUGAAACUCAGCUGGAUUUCAUCCGGAACUAUGGCUCAUUCCCCUCCAGGUCAGAGUUUCUCCCCCAGCACCCAGCUGAAGGGACCUUCAGUGCCAUCUCCUUUAAGCCAGGUUUCCACCAAGAUGACAUCAAGAUGACAGUAUGGAAACGUCUGCUCCGCAGAGUCCUGCCAGCCCCAGAGACACUGAAGCUGGACCCGGUGACAGGACACCCUCUGCUAGAGCUGACCAAGGACAACACCGUGGUGCAGAGCAGGCUCCUCUAUCAGCGCCGGGGCAGCUUUCCUGAGCGCUUUGACGCCAGCAACUGCAUCCUCGCCAACAAGGGCUUCUCCUGGGGCAAGCACUACUGGGAGGUGAUCGUAGGCACCAAGAGCCACUGGCGCCUGGGCAUCAUCAAGGGCACAGCUAGCCGCAAGGGCAAGCUGAACAAGUCUCCCGAGCAUGGCGUGUGGCUCAUCGGCCUGAAGGAAGGAAAGAUCUACGAGGCCUUCAACAACCCCCGCACCACACUGCCACUCACGGCCCGGCCCCAGCGCAUCGGCGUCUACCUGCACUACGAGAAGGGCGAGCUGACCUUCUACAACGCCGACAGCCCCGACGAGCUCGUCCCCAUCUACACCUUCCAGGCGGAGUUUCAGGGCAAGCUCUACCCCAUCAUAGACAUGUGCUGGCAUGAGCGGGGCACCAACGCUCUGCCCAUCGUGUUGCCCACGCCUGCCAUGAUUCGACACACACAAGCUCCCGACAGCAGCCUGGACCCACCGGAGCCCACAAAGCUAUAGAUCUCCACCCAGAGCCCCUCACCCUACCCACUGUUUGGGGAUGGUCAGAGCUCUCUGAAGCCCACCUGGGGAGGGCUUAUAGCUGGUGUUGGUCUCUGCCAGUCAAGCCUUGGGGUUGGGGAAACAGGAUCUUUAUCCCUUAAGAGCAGAGAUGGGCAUGAACCAAAUCAGCCCCCCAUCCCCACUCUCGGGGGAACUUGGACCCGAUUGCUGCCAUUUGGACCCAUCCCCACUACCGUGUUCAACCUGUCUCUGCCGCCUGUUCUCCACCCAGACUCCUGUGUGACGCACCAUAAUGACUGCUGCGGACUGAGGACUGCGUCUCAGGCUGAGGAUCAUGUCGGAGCAGCAGGCAGAGAGAGAAGUAGCCUGCCCCCAUGCACAUGGCCCCAGCUAUGCGGAAUCAGAGAGGAUGAAGACAGAAUCCAACCAGCCAAGACACAAUUGUCUCAGUCAGUGGUCAGAGCUUUGCAUGGAAUAUCAACUGCUCCUUAAACAAACCUGUUCUCCCUCCCCAACCCGACAGUUCCCCUUAACACAGUGUACCAAGGCCCACAUGUGUAUGUCCUUGUAUAGCCCCUAGGAUCUCCCAAGUCCACUACUCAACUCUGGCGCCCGUUAGCUCAUGCUUUCAAAUCAAGAGUCCAGAGUUCCUUCCACCCCAGGUGACCUGGCGUGGGGCAUCACUGCACACCGUUUAGCAGCUGGCUGGAAUUAAACAGCCACCCAGCAUUAGUAUGGGUUGCCUAUGUGCCCUUGCUAGGGAGGCUUUCCCCAAACAUCAGAAAUCCACAGUGGGGCAGAUCCCCCCUACCCCGUGUCUGCAGGGAGUGAACAUAAUGUGAUGGAUUAGUUAAGUCUGUACAUGUCUAAAUCAAACUACAAACACCAUUUGAUGAAUGCCAUGUUGAGUGGAAACUGCACUGUAUCUUCAGUGUUGUCUUUUUAUCUGCAUCUUGGAGUGGGAUUCCUGGAAGUGUUAGCACAUGGCUAACACAGAGCAACAAGAGUGGUUUACCUAGUGGUUCUCCCAUCAAAUGGAAGCAUCCUAGGACAGCGAGCGGCCUACUUCCUAGGGGAACCAGAGCUUCCAAGUGGGCUUCUAAUCAAGUAAUGUAUCAACUGACAGGGACUCGAAGCCACUGAAGAGAGUCACCUGAUGGGGGGGCACUGGGACAUGACAAAAGGAAGCCUCUCCCAUCAGCAAUUUCUGAGAGAGGCUAUCAGGCCCAGAAGGCGAAGCUGUACACAGGGUGGCAGGUAGGGGCGUGAAGGAAAGGAGGGUCCUGGGACCCUGAAAGGAAUGAUCAAAACCCAAAGGGCUCUGUGAGUGGUGUGAGUGUGGGGGCUCUCCCCAGCAGGUGGGCUUCUAGAUUGGGAAUCCCAUUAUGGGGUGAGACCCUGCAGGAUUCCUAUGUCCACCUCUGCCUGGAUGCUGGGUUGUGACUGCUUCUGCAGUGGGAGGGUGUGCUGUAGUUCUUGGCUUUUUCAAGGCUAUUCUCUGUACAUGUGCCAUCAUUUCACUAGGGAUAAAGGUCACGUAUGGGGCAGCGAUUUCCAGGUUCAUUCUUUGGGGAUUGGGUCCGUUUGUGCUGGGCUUCUGGUUAACCUGUGACUUAGUAAAUGGACCUGCAGAGUGCGCUAGGCCUGACCUGAUCUCUCUUCCAUCUCUGUCUGAUGCUUGGAACCAACUGGAGUAUUCUUGUAUCUCAGGUGAUUUGGGAAAAGGGAUUGUUUGUGUCUUACCUGUUUGUUUUUGC
Molecule: RNA transcript, 3712 nt
Organism: Gopherus flavomarginatus (Mexican gopher tortoise)
Lineage: Eukaryota; Metazoa; Chordata; Testudines; Testudinidae
Gene: TRIM50
Gene name: tripartite motif containing 50
Exons: 8
Source: RefSeq, a predicted model, not a curated record